CCCUUAGAUGUUCUGGGCCGCACGCGCGCUACACUGAUGCAUUCAACGAGCCUAUCCUUGACCGACAGGUCCGGGUAAUCUUUGAAUCUGCAUCGUGACGGGGAUAGAUUAUUGCAAUUAUUAAUCUUCAACGAGGAAUGCCUAGUAGGCGCAAGUUAUCAGCUUGCGUCGAUUACGUCCCUGCCCUUUGUACACACCGCCCGUCGCUCCUACCGAUUGGGUGUGCUGGUGAAAUGUUCGGAUCGGCCGUUUGUCGCGGUUUCCGCGUCAUGUGGCUGAGAAGUUCAUUAAACCCUCCCACCUAGAGGAAGGAGAAGUCGUAACA
RNAcentral lists this ribosomal RNA (325 nucleotides) under uncultured eukaryote. Its description in RNAcentral is "partial 18S ribosomal RNA". It matches the Rfam family "Eukaryotic small subunit ribosomal RNA", at positions 1470 to 1796 of the family's 1831-position model. The record is from RNAcentral.